This 364-nucleotide ribosomal RNA is filed under the name bacterium enrichment culture clone ALO1_GLFRUDD03GJH2O. RNAcentral describes it as "bacterial SSU rRNA". It matches the Rfam family "Bacterial small subunit ribosomal RNA", at positions 9 to 377 of the family's 1533-position model. The record is from RNAcentral.
GAGUUUGAUCGUGGCUCAGAUUGAACGCUGGCGGCAGGCCUAACACAUGCAAGUCGAGCGGAUGACGGGAGCUUGCUCCUUGAUUCAGCGGCGGACGGGUGAGUAAUGCCUAGGAAUCUGCCUGGUAGUGGGGGACAACGUUUCGAAAGGAACGCUAAUACCGCAUACGUCCUACGGGAGAAAGCAGGGGACCUUCGGGCCUUGCGCUAUCAGAUGAGCCUAGGUCGGAUUAGCUAGUUGGUGGGGUAAUGGCUCACCAAGGCGACGAUCCGUAACUGGUCUGAGAGGAUGAUCAGUCACACUGGAACUGAGACACGGUCAGACUCCUACGGGAGGCAGCAGUGGGAAUAUUGGACAAUGGGCG